GACGAACGCUGGCGGCGUGCUUAACACAUGCAAGUCGAACGGAAAGGCCUCUUUCGGGGGGUACUCGAGUGGCGAACGGGUGAGUAACACGUGAGUAACCUGCCCUUGACUUUGGGAUAACUUCAGGAAACUGGGGCUAAUACCGGAUAGGAGCUCCUGCUGCAUGGUGGGGGUUGGAAAGUUUCGGCGGUUGGGGAUGGACUCGCGGCUUAUCAGCUUGUUGGUGGGGUAGUGGCUUACCAAGGCUUUGACGGGUAGCCGGCCUGAGAGGGUGACCGGCCACAUUGGGACUGAGAUACGGCCCAGACUCCUACGGGAGGCAGCAGUGGGGAAUAUUGCACAAUGGGUGGAAGCCUGAUGCAGCAACGCCGUGUGCGGUAUGACGGCCUUCGGGUUGUAAACCGCUUUCGCUCAUGACGAAGCUUUGUGUGACGGUAGUGGGUAAAGAAGCACCGGCUAACUACGUG
RNAcentral lists this ribosomal RNA (467 nucleotides) under uncultured bacterium. RNAcentral's name for it is "partial 16S ribosomal RNA". It matches the Rfam family "Bacterial small subunit ribosomal RNA", at positions 28 to 507 of the family's 1533-position model. The record is from RNAcentral.